This is a long non-coding RNA of Syzygium oleosum, 370 nucleotides long. RefSeq lists it as uncharacterized. The transcript has 2 exons. The record is from RefSeq and is a predicted model, not a curated record. Lineage: Eukaryota; Viridiplantae; Streptophyta; Magnoliopsida; Myrtales; Myrtaceae.
GGAUUAGCUUAGACCGUUGCCGCCGCUCGCGCCGUUCGCCGGAGCCGCCACCGCCGUUACUGUUCCGGCGAGGGACUGCCGCUGCCCAGCCCCUUUUCGUCGCGUGUUCGGCCCGUUUCAAGCUUAGGACAUCCGACCCCCAGCCUUGAGGAUGGCAGGCGUAUUGAAACGUUUUGGGAGGAGCCCCGGCUAGAUAUAGUGUUUGAUCGCCGAGCCACGUACCCGCUUUUGAUUUUUGAGUGUGGGCUGUAUAUGAAUAUUGUAUAUGUUUCCCGAUGUCAAAACAAGUGUAUAAUUAUCCGUGCUGGUUGUUGUAUGGCUAUCCUUGGUUAGGUGUAUUUUAAUGUACGGGUGGUUUUAAUUACUUCCG